UUAUAAUUAAAAUAAAAUUUUUAUUUUUUCAUUUUUAAAUUAAUUAAAAUUUAAAUUAUAUAAUAUAUUAAUAACUGAAAAGGAACAUUUUUAAAUUUUUAAAAAGUAAUAAUUUUUUGUACCUUUGGCAUUAGGGAUUAUCAAAAGAAAAUAAAAAUUUAUUUUUCUCGAAAUAAAUUGAUCUAAUUAUUAUUAAUUUAAUAUAUUUUAAAAUAUUAAUAAAAUAUAAAUUAGAAGUGAAAUUCUUUUCAAAAUUUAAGAUAUCUAGUUUUUAAAAAAAAAUAAAAUUUUUUCUGUUUAAAAACAUUUUUUUUAAAAAAAACAGAAUAAUUUCUCUAGGAUAAGCUAGAGAAAAUUCUAAAAUAAUUAUAUUAAUUUUAAUAAGAAGGAAUAAAAUUAUCCAUUCAAUUUUUAUAAGUAAUUUUUAUAAAUUUUAAAAAAAAAUUUAGUUUUUUUAAAAAAUGGAAAAAAAUAUUUUUUUCAAAAAAAAAUGAUUUUAUUAGUAAAAUAUUUUUUAUUUUUAAAUUUUAAAAAAAUAUAUAAAAAUUAUAUUUUUAUAAUUAAAUUAAAGUAACUCGGCAAAAAUUUUUUCUGACUGUUUAAUAAAAACAUUUUAUUUAGAAAUUAAAAAAUUAAUUAAAUAAAAUUCCUGCUCAAUGAUAAUUAUAUUAAAUUGCUGUAGUAUUUUGACUAUACAAAGGUAUUGUAAUAAGAUUUUAAUUGAAUGCUAAAAGAAUGGAUUAACAGAUAAAUACUUUCUUUAAUUUAAAAAUUAAAUUUAUUAUUUUUUGUGCAGAAACAAAAAUAAAAAUUAAGGACAAGAAGACCCUAAGAAUUUUAAUUUGAUUUAAAUAAUUUAUAUUUCUUAAUCAAAUUUAAUUGGGGCGAUUGAAAAAUAUUUUUAACUUUUUUUUAAAAAAAUUAUGAACCAUUAAUAAUGGUAAUAUGAAAAAAUACUCUAGGGAUAACAGCGUAAUAAUUUUUGAUAGUUCAUAUAGACAAAAUAGUUUGCGACCUCGAUGUUGGAUUAGGAUUCUAAUUUAAUGAAGAAGUUAAAUUAAGAAGUUUGUUCAACUUUUAAAUUCCUACAUGAUCUGAGUUUAAACCGGUGAGAAUCAGGUUGGUUUCUAUCUUAAUUUUAUAAUUAAUACAAUUUAGUACGAAAGGAAUUUUUGUAUAAAAUUAUUUUAUUUAAGAUCUUACAGUUUUUGCAUCAAUUUUUGGAAUU
RNAcentral lists this ribosomal RNA (1228 nucleotides) under Amblyomma javanense. RNAcentral's name for it is "16S ribosomal RNA". The record is from RNAcentral. Lineage: Eukaryota; Metazoa; Arthropoda; Arachnida; Ixodida; Ixodidae.